Molecule: ribosomal RNA, 461 nt
Filed under: uncultured bacterium
Lineage: Bacteria
Description: partial 16S ribosomal RNA
Rfam family: Bacterial small subunit ribosomal RNA
Source: RNAcentral
CCUACGGGUGGCAGCAGUGAGGAAUAUUGGUCAAUGGCCGAGAGGCUGAACCAGCCAAGUCGCGUGAGGGAAGACGGCCCUACGGGUUGUAAACUUCUUUUGUCAGGGAGCAAUUGGGUCCACGCGUGGGCUUAGCGAGAGUACCUGAAGAAAAAGCAUCGGCUAACUCCGUGCCAGCAGCCGCGGUAAUACGGAGGUUGCGAGCGUUAUCCUGAUUUAGUGGGUUUAAAGGGAGCGUAGGUGGAUUGUUAAGUCAGUUGUGAAAGUGUGCGGCUCAAACGUAAAAUUGCAGUUGAAACUGGCAGUCUUGAGUACAGUAGAGGUGGGCGGAAUUCGUGGUGUAGCGGUGAAAUGCUUAGAUAUCACGAAGAACUCCGAUGGCGAAGGCAGUUCACUGGACUGCAACUGACACUGAGGCUCGAAAGUGUGGGUAUCAAACAGGAUUAGAUACCCCAGUAGUC